Molecule: ribosomal RNA, 253 nt
Filed under: uncultured bacterium
Lineage: Bacteria
Description: partial 16S ribosomal RNA
Rfam family: Bacterial small subunit ribosomal RNA
Source: RNAcentral
UACGUAGGGUGCAAGCGUUAAUCGGAAUUACUGGGCGUAAAGCGUGCGCAGGCGGUUUUGUAAGUCUGUCGUGAAAGCCCCGGGCUCAACCCUGGAAAGCCGGUGGAUACUGCCGGGCUAGAGUCCGGAAGAGGCGAGUGGAAUUCCUGGUGUAGCGGUGGAAUGCGCAGAUAUCAGGAGGAACACCGAUGGCGAAGGCAGCUCGCUGGGACGGUACUGACGCUGAGGCGCGAAAGCGUGGGGAGCAAACAGG